GUGGGGAAUAUUGGACAAUGGGGGGAACCCUGAUCCAGCCAUGCCGCGUGUGUGAAGAAGGCCUUUUGGUUGUAAAGCACUUUAAGCGAGGAGGAGGCUACCGAGAUUAAUACUCUUGGAUAGUGGACGUUACUCGCAGAAUAAGCACCGGCUAACUCUGUGCCAGCAGCCGCGGUAAUACAGAGGGUGCAAGCGUUAAUCGGAUUUACUGGGCGUAAAGCGCGCGUAGGCGGCUUUUUAAGUCGGAUGUGAAAUCCCUGAGCUUAACUUAGGAAUUGCAUUCGAUACUGGAAAGCUAGAGUAUGGGAGAGGAUGGUAGAAUUCCAGGUGUAGCGGUGAAAUGCGUAGAGAUCUGGAGGAAUACCGAUGGCGAAGGCAGCCAUCUGGCCUAAUACUGACGCUGAGGUACGAAAGCAUGGGGAGCAAACAGGAUUAGAAACCCGGGUAGUCC
Molecule: ribosomal RNA, 451 nt
Filed under: uncultured bacterium
Lineage: Bacteria
Description: partial 16S ribosomal RNA
Rfam family: Bacterial small subunit ribosomal RNA
Source: RNAcentral